Molecule: long non-coding RNA, 412 nt
Organism: Antechinus flavipes (yellow-footed antechinus)
Lineage: Eukaryota; Metazoa; Chordata; Mammalia; Dasyuromorphia; Dasyuridae
Exons: 2
Source: RefSeq, a predicted model, not a curated record
UGGGAUAGGGAUUAGGACUUAGUAACCGCCAAAAGAGCACAGAUUUGCUAAACUCAGGAUUACCUUUUAAGGAUAAAGCUAUAUCAGACAUCCUGAUUGGUGCUGUAAAAACCAAAAAGGCUAUAAAUACAAUGUACUUCCUGGAGCACGCUCUCUUUGACCUGAUGUAGCUGUGUAAGAAUAAAGUCCGUUUGACCUCUGGUAACUCGGCUCAGUGUCUAGUUCUUCCUCGGAAGCCGGUGACGACCGAAGACCCAGAAGAUGGAUAAGGAAACUGUCAAAAAAGAAUCACACAACUAUCAACUGUCUGAGAUUGGAUUUGAACUCCAAACCACUCCACUAUUUGCCAAGAAAAACCCAAAUGUGGUCACAAAAAAUCAAGUACAAUUGAAAUAAAUGAAUAAUUUCUUGA